This 429-nucleotide ribosomal RNA is filed under the name uncultured bacterium. RNAcentral's name for it is "bacterial SSU rRNA". It matches the Rfam family "Bacterial small subunit ribosomal RNA", at positions 355 to 776 of the family's 1533-position model. The record is from RNAcentral.
UGGGGAAUUUUGGACAAUGGGGGCAACCCUGAUCCAGCCAUUCCGCGUGAGUGAAGAAGGCCUUCGGGUUGUAAAGCUCUUUCGGCAGGAACGAAACGGUGGAGGCUAAUACCUUUCAUCAAUGACGGUACCUGAAGAAGAAGCACCGGCUAACUACGUGCCAGCAGCCGCGGUAAUACGUAGGGUGCGAGCGUUAAUCGGAAUUACUGGGCGUAAAGCGUGCGCAGGCGGUUUCGUAAGACAGAUGUGAAAUCCCCGGGCUUAACCUGGGAACUGCGUUUGUGACUGCGAGACUCGAGUGUGGCAGAGGGGGGUGGAAUUCCACGUGUAGCAGUGAAAUGCGUAGAGAUGUGGAGGAACACCGAUGGCGAAGGCAGCCCCCUGGGUCAACACUGACGCUCAUGCACGAAAGCGUGGGGAGCAAACAGG